Molecule: non-coding RNA, 529 nt
Organism: Xyrichtys novacula (pearly razorfish)
Lineage: Eukaryota; Metazoa; Chordata; Actinopteri; Labriformes; Labridae
Source: the annotation of a GenBank genome assembly
UUUUACUGUGGCCAGUCUGAUGCACACCUGUGCAGUAAUCAUGCUGUCUAAUCAGCAUCUUGAUAUGCCACACCUGUGAGGUGGAUGAAUGAGGUGCUCACUAACACAGAUUUAGACACAUUUGUCAACAAUAUUUGAAUGAAAUGGGUCUUUUUGUAUACAGAAAAAGAAAAGUCUUAAUCUUUGAGUUUAGCUCAUGAAAAGGGAGCAAAACAAAAAGUGUUGCAUUUAUAUUGUUGUUUUCAGUGUAUAUUUAAAGUCAAAUUUUAGAUGGCCAUAAGUUAUGUGUUGAAAAAUGAAAUGACAGGGAAAAUUCCCUGACAUCAUGUCAGUAGCACCUUUACAAAUAUGUUAUAUAAAUGAAACAAAUAGUGACGUGUUCACCACUUCUUUUACCCACUGUAUAUUGUAGAUGUUCCUUGAUUAUGUGUAAAGCUGUUUUCAAUAAAGACAUUUGUUAGCACAAAGAAUAAAAAAGUUUGAUCAUCAAAUGUGACAUUUUCUCAAUAAAUUCAAGGUAAAAAGUAAA